UUUGUGGGUUUCUCACCUCUGUUCCUGUAUGUGAGAGUUUCCUGGUCUGAGCUGCAGAGCAAAGCUCUCAGAGCCUCUGACAUGUAGUGGUCCACAAAGAGGAAGAGGAGCUUUUUACUGUCUGCCAACCUGCUGCUGGUCUCAUUUGAUCCAGCUGCAGAAUGGAGGGAACAUCUGUCCACAGGCUGCUGGCUCUCAUCUCUCUGCUGAGCUGCUCAACAAACCAAGCUGCUCUGACUGU
Molecule: long non-coding RNA, 241 nt
Organism: Fundulus heteroclitus (mummichog)
Lineage: Eukaryota; Metazoa; Chordata; Actinopteri; Cyprinodontiformes; Fundulidae
Exons: 3
Source: RefSeq, a predicted model, not a curated record